CAGUCGUUAUACUGAAAAAGAUGCAGCAGUGGUUGUAGGGCAAAUGCUUAAGGUUGGUACAACAGGACAUGAAACCAGAGGUGUGGUCCAGUCCGCUGACAUAUAUAAGCAAUAUGUAGUUAUGCAAGUAUACAUGAAAAUAUUUUUGUUUCCUCUUUGUAUGCAGAAUUUUCUUUUCAAAUCAAACAGAUAAGAUUCACCUUUAAAGGCUACCGAUUUUGAUGUGUCUGAUUUCAUAAAACCUGGUGAGGAAAAAUAUUCAUGCUAUUGAUUUGUCCCUCCCAUAUUUGUUGUGUCACUUGUGUGGCCUUAACCAAUAUUGUAAGUGGUUCUGUUGCAUUUGAUUUGCAAAUAAAAACUAUUAUAAGCUGGAAAGUUUAACUUUCUAUAUCUUUUUUUACUAAGAAAUAGCUUUUUUACUAUAUCUAUUGUUAAUUUCUGUUCAGCUGAAUCCUUUCCUCCAUAGUACUACUUGGAGGAGUUGUAGAUUGAGUGUCUUCGCCAUUUGUACUGGUGUUCUACUUCUUGGUUUGGAGAAGUUUACAAUUAUAUUAGAGUCAUUCACGCAAUUCCUUCACUACAGGCCCUGUCAUUGACCAUUCUAGCAAGGAAGGUGUCUCAGCUUCAGUGUUUGUCUGAGGUGGAAGCUUAAAACUCCUUAUCAUCUAUUUGCAUUGUUGUCUCCUUGGGCAUGUCACUCACAAACAAAAUGAGUGCACUGGUUUUAUGAUUAAUUAUAGUAAUAGCUGUGUAUUUUAGUUUGCUGGAUAUUUUCUUGUUUAAUUACACAAAAUGUUGUAAGAAAUUCAAUCAUAAUCGAACAGUUGUGUAAUUAUUUGGAAACAUUUGACAACGGUUAGGAAACCGUGCUCAUAAAUAUUAG
This is a long non-coding RNA of Lotus japonicus, 883 nucleotides long. RefSeq lists it as uncharacterized. Lineage: Eukaryota; Viridiplantae; Streptophyta; Magnoliopsida; Fabales; Fabaceae. The transcript is spliced from 3 exons. The record is from RefSeq and is a predicted model, not a curated record.